This 646-nucleotide small RNA is filed under the name Pan troglodytes (chimpanzee). RNAcentral's name for it is "retained intron". Lineage: Eukaryota; Metazoa; Chordata; Mammalia; Primates; Hominidae. The record is from RNAcentral.
CCACUCCCAGCGCCACGCCUUCGCAGAGGCAGCCUGUGCCAUCCUGCACAGCUCUGUCUUCCAGGAAUGCCACAGGCUGGUGGACAAAGAGCCAUUCUAUCUGCGCUGCCUGGCAGCCGUGUGUGGCUGUGAUCCCGGCAGUGACUGCCUGUGCCCGGUGCUGUCUGCCUAUGCGCGUCGCUGUGCCCAGGAAGGUGCCUCACCUCCCUGGAGGAACCAGACCCUCUGCCCUGUUAUGUGUCCUGGUGGCCAGGAGUACCGAGAGUGUGCCCCAGCAUGCGGUCAACACUGCGGGGAACCAGAGGACUGUGGAGAGCUGGGCAGCUGUGUGGCUGGUUGUAACUGUCCUCUGGGGCUGCUGUGGGACCCUGAGGGCCAGUGUGUGCCCCCCAGCUUGUGCUCUUGCCAGCUCGGAGCCCGUCGCUAUGCCCCUGGCAGUGCCACCAUGAAGGAGUGCAACCGCUGGUGAGGGCAGCGACCUUUGGGGCAAGAGGAAGAAUGUGGGGAUGAAGAGGUAGCUUGGGAGAUAACGGGUGGGGUGCAGCCUUGUUGGUCGCAGCGUGCAUGCUGGGGGUGACAGAGUGCUGAUCACUUCCCCUCGGUCGUGGGGCACUUUAGGGUCCAUAAAGCACUUUCGUGUGCAUCA